CAAAUUCCUAAGCGUAAUCAAAUGGUGAUUAUACUUCUCCAUUUUUUCCCUGGCAACAGACUACACAAAGGAAAUCCCAUCAAUGUAGAUGUGGUCAAACCCUUCCACCUGAGCAGCUCAGAGGGUUACAAUCCUAUGGGUAUAGGGUACAAUUCAGGAUAUGGUGGAUGGGCCCAGAGAAGUUACAACAGGAGCUACAGUUCCAGAAGUGUUGGAGAGCCCUCGAGGACCAAGGACAGCAGCCACAACCUGACUCCAGGAGUUUGCUCUGCAGAUGCAGAAUUCCACCCUGGAGCAGUCCCCUACUCCAGGAGCUGUUAUGUUGGUAACCAUAGCAUUGACAGUUCCUGUCAAACUGGAGGAGUUCGGGUGGGAAGAGGCACCAACCAAGGUCUGGGAUUCGGCUCAGGAAUUGUGCAUGGAUCCAUCCAGAAUGUAGGCAGUGGGAAAAUCUCUGGAGGUAUAGCAGAAACGUGUCCCGGUGGAGGCUACCUCUCUGGGGGUUACAGACCAGUAGAUGUUCACCCAUUUGGGGAUGGAGGGAUGGGCCCUAGAGUUGUCAGUGGCCCCAUAGUUGUGGGCUGCCACCCUGGAUUUGGAAUUGGAAAUAUUGGUGGACCGUGUUUUGGCAUCCCAGCUGCAGGAGGUUUUGGGGUUUCAGGAGGGAUGCCUUGUGUAGGAGCAGGUGGUCCUCUCGAUGUGUGUUAUCCUGGAGCAGUACAAGCUCCUGUGGGUGUCUGUUACCCUGGACAAGUAGGUGAUAUUUGCUUCACUGGAGGAGUAGCACCUCUGUAAGUAGCUGCUACUCCUCUGGAAGCAGGAGAGGCCCCUUAAGAAACCCCACAGUUUAAAAAAUCUUUGUAAAACUUCCCAUUUUGGAAAGAAAUUCAUUCUCAAUUUCUUAGCCGCAGCAAUCAGAACUCCUACUAGCAUUGAGGGUGUGAAACAUUGAUCAUGAAAUAUUUUUAGCAACAUGCCUGCAUAUCUUGGUUCAUCUAAAUUUUUAGUGCCUUUCAGUGCAUGGAAAUUUUCCUGUCCUUUAAGAGAAAUGUCUACUGCUGAAUCAGACAUGCUUCCUCCACUAAUUUGGCACUGGCAGCUUCAUGAAACAUAUUCUUGGAAUUGGUAAUUUAAAACAAAAGAAAAGUAAAGUAAAAACACCUCCCCUCCCUCAAACAUCUCAUACAAGGGGUGCCAAUGUCCUCUAGUUUUUAUUUUAAUUCAGAGAGCUGUAAAAAAAGGAAACUUAGCCUUUCUUUACAAUGCUUAGAAUUGAUUUGUUGUUAUGUGCUUCUGACUGACUGUACCCCUUAACAGAGAUUUCAAGAUAUGUGAGAUCUUCCACUUGUGGCUUACCAUGGGCAUUCCUUGGGAGGUUUCUAUGGAUGAGCAGGAAUAUGAUGCUAAGUCUCCUGAGUUCUGAUCCGGCAUCCGCCCCAUUACGCCCCAUUGACUUUAAGUCAGAUAGAACCAUAACUGAUUUUUAUCCCGCUUUUACAUUAGUGUUUCAUGAUUUGGGAUGGACAAAUCUUUUGUUUUGUUGUACUCGUACUUUGUCAAUCCCAAGCUGUUCCAUUCUGGGAAAAAGGGGCGAUUUUGUUAAGUUCCUGUUUUAAACAAAAAUAACCAAUUCCAUCUCAGCCCACCCAGAAGUUUUCAGCCAUCUCUCAGUGUGGGACUAAACGAAUUGUACUAGCCUACAACGGAUCUGUUACAGAUGAGAUUUUCAGCCAUCUCUCAGUGUGGAAAUAAACGAAUUGUACUAGCCUACA
This 1772-nucleotide long non-coding RNA is filed under the name Pogona vitticeps (central bearded dragon). Its description in RNAcentral is "lncRNA (ENSPVIG00000017433.1)". Lineage: Eukaryota; Metazoa; Chordata; Lepidosauria; Squamata; Agamidae. The record is from RNAcentral.